RNAcentral lists this long non-coding RNA (971 nucleotides) under Bemisia tabaci. RNAcentral's name for it is "lncRNA ENSSSA2NGG008069". The record is from RNAcentral. Lineage: Eukaryota; Metazoa; Arthropoda; Insecta; Hemiptera; Aleyrodidae.
GUAGUGUCAAUGUAAAUGCCAUGGAUGAGGGUCUCCAGAGCCUCCUGCGAGAAUGGGGACUAUCUCCAACCGUAAUUAAGAAGUUCGAAGAUAAUGACAUUACUUCAAGAGACCAUUUAAGAGGAAUGAAAAUCGAAGAUGUGGAACACCUACUAACGCUCGGCCAAAAAAUUUCCUUCCGUGCAAAAUUAGAGACAUUUCAUCAACUAAAUAAUGCCUCAGUAGUAAUUGAAGUUGUACAGCCUGCACCUGAAAAUGUUGUAGAAAAUAUUCUUGAAAAUGUUCCUCCUGAAAAUCCUACUAAUCCUCUAUCCGACAUUAAUCUUGGUGGUGAUGAUGAUGGUUCUGGCCCCAGUAAAAGAACUCCACUUAGGUGCUCUCCACGGACUUCAAAUGUUAAUCGUCCCGAUCCUACCCAAGUCACUCCCAAGAAUUUAUUUGGCACCAGAAGUCCAACCAUUAAUUUUCGGGAAUUCCUUGAAUCGAGCUUAAAAGGAAGAUCCAUCCUAAGCUAUUAUAGAAACAAAAAUGAGCUAAAUGAUGAGAAUAGAAGAAUUUUAAGCACACUCUUAAUAACCAACGAAAUGGAAAACUGCCUGAAAAUUCCAAAUUGCAAAUUGGAGAGUUUAUCAGAACUUAUCGUUAAAGAAUUCCCAACGGAAGAGAAAUCAAACUGGUACGUCCCCUUCGCAAUGGAGGGGAAAAAGCGAACCUGUGCUGGGGGGAAAUUAUACCAUUUUUAUCAUAACGAACGGCGCACCUUGAGAGAGGCUGGCAUGUUAAGCAGAAGAACCCAGAAUCAAGCUUUAGCUGGAAGCGAAGGUGAACUGAACAGCUUUAAUUGGGUGAAGAAAAGCAGUGAACCAUUUGAGACCGCGAUUUCACAUUGGGAAAAUAGUGUCCAAUACAGAAUAAAUUUGUUAAAAGGAGACGAUCAAACGCCUGCCAAAUACAUGUCAAAUUUCAUGUGU